Molecule: ribosomal RNA, 403 nt
Filed under: uncultured bacterium
Lineage: Bacteria
Description: partial 16S ribosomal RNA
Rfam family: Bacterial small subunit ribosomal RNA
Source: RNAcentral
GACGAACGCUGGCGGCGUGCCUAAUACAUGCAAGUCGAGCGAGCGGCGGACGGGUGAGUAAUGUAUGGGGACGGCCCGAUAGAGGGGGAUAACUACUGGAAACGGUGGCUAAUACCGCAUACUAGCGGAUAACCCAUAGGGGAUUAGCUAGUAGGUGGGGUAAAGGCCCACCGAGGCGACGAUCUGUAGCUGGUCUGAGGGGAUGAUCAGCCGCACGGGGACUGAGACACGGACUAGACUCCGACGGAGGCAGCGGUGGGGCAGAUUGCACAAUGGGCGAAAGCCUGAAGCAGCCAUGCCGCGUGUAUGAAUAGGGCCUUAGGGUUGUAGAGUACUUUCAGCGGGGAGGCGUUACCCGCAGAAGAAGCACCGGCUAACUCCGUGCCAGCCGCCGCGGUAAUUC